Molecule: ribosomal RNA, 142 nt
Filed under: Enterobacter asburiae
Lineage: Bacteria; Pseudomonadati; Pseudomonadota; Gammaproteobacteria; Enterobacterales; Enterobacteriaceae
Also listed under: 1 other name
Description: partial 23S ribosomal RNA
Rfam family: Bacterial large subunit ribosomal RNA
Source: RNAcentral
GGGUUGUGAGGUUAAGCGACUAAGCGUACACGGUGGAUGCCCUGGCAGUCAGAGGCGAUGAAGGACGUGCUAAUCUGCGAAAAGCGCCGGCGAGGUGAUAUGAACCUUUGACCCGGCGAUGUCCGAAUGGGGAAACCCAGUG